Molecule: ribosomal RNA, 1000 nt
Filed under: Photobacterium ganghwense
Lineage: Bacteria; Pseudomonadati; Pseudomonadota; Gammaproteobacteria; Vibrionales; Vibrionaceae
Description: bacterial SSU rRNA
Rfam family: Bacterial small subunit ribosomal RNA
Source: RNAcentral
CAGAAGGAGGCACCGGGCUAAAUUCCGUGCCCGGCAGCCGCGGUAAUUCCGGAGGGUGCGAGCGUUAAUCGGAAUUACUGGGCGUAAAGCGCAUGCAGGCGGCUUGUUAAGCCAGAUGUGAAAGCCCGGGGCUCAACCUUGGAAUCGCAUUUGGAACUGGCAGGCUAGAGUCUUGUAGAGGGGGGUAGAAUUUCAGGUGUAGCGGUGAAAUGCGUAGAGAUCUGAAGGAAUACCGGUGGCGAAGGCGGCCCCCUGGACAAAGACUGACGCUCAGAUGCGAAAGCGUGGGGAGCAAACAGGAUUAGAUACCCUGGUAGUCCACGCCGUAAACGAUGUCUACUUGGAGGUUGGUGUCUUGAACACUGGCUUUCGGAGCUAACGCGUUAAGUAGACCGCCUGGGGAGUACGGUCGCAAGAUUAAAACUCAAAUGAAUUGACGGGGGCCCGCACAAGCGGUGGAGCAUGUGGUUUAAUUCGAUGCAACGCGAAGAACCUUACCUACUCUUGACAUCCACGGAAUCCUGCAGAGAUGCGGGAGUGCCUUCGGGAACCGUGAGACAGGUGCUGCAUGGCUGUCGUCAGCUCGUGUUGUGAAAUGUUGGGUUAAGUCCCGCAACGAGCGCAACCCUUAUCCUUGUUUGCCAGCACUUCGGGUGGGAACUCCAGGGAGACUGCCGGUGAUAAACCGGAGGAAGGUGGGGACGACGUCAAGUCAUCAUGGCCCUUACGAGUAGGGCUACACACGUGCUACAAUGGCAUAUACAGAGGGCAGCAAGACCGCGAGGUGGAGCGAAUCCCACAAAGUAUGUCGUAGUCCGGAUUGGAGUCUGCAACUCGACUCCAUGAAGUCGGAAUCGCUAGUAAUCGUGGAUCAGAAUGCCACGGUGAAUACGUUCCCGGGCCUUGUACACACCGCCCGUCACACCAUGGGAGUGGGCUGCACCAGAAGUAGAUAGCUUAACCUUCGGGAGGGCGUUACCAUCGGUGUGUCUGCCCGCAC